CCCUUAGAUGUUCUGGGCCGCACGCGCGCUACACUGACGGAGGCAGCGAGCAUGUCCUACGCCGACAGGUGCGGGGAAUCUUGUCAAACUUCGUCGUGAUGGGGAUUGAUUAUUGAAAUUCUUGAUCAUCAACGAGGAAUUCCUAGUAAGCGCAAGUCAGCAGCUUGCGUUGAUUACGUCCCUGCCCUUUGUACACACCGCCCGUCGCUACUACCGAUUGAAUGGUUUAGUGAGAUCUUCGGAUUGGCGCCACUGCGGCUCAGCAAUGGGCUCGGUGGAUGCCGAAAAGUUGAUCAAACUUGAUCAUUUAGAGGAAGUAAAAGUCGUAACA
RNAcentral lists this ribosomal RNA (331 nucleotides) under uncultured eukaryote. RNAcentral describes it as "partial 18S ribosomal RNA". It matches the Rfam family "Eukaryotic small subunit ribosomal RNA", at positions 1470 to 1796 of the family's 1831-position model. The record is from RNAcentral.